Molecule: ribosomal RNA, 369 nt
Filed under: uncultured eukaryote
Lineage: Eukaryota
Description: SSU rRNA
Rfam family: Eukaryotic small subunit ribosomal RNA
Source: RNAcentral
AGCUCCAAUAGCGUAUAUUAAAGUUGUUGCAGUUAAAAAGCUCGUAGUUGAACUUUAGGCAAGGCGGUCUGGUCGCCCACUGGGUGUACUGGACUCGCCGCGCCUCACCUUCGGGGAACUAGUUGUGCUUCGGUGCGCUAGGGAACCGAGCCUUACUUUGAAGAAAUUAGAGUGUUUAAAGCAGGCUUACGCUUGAAUACAUCAGCAUGGAAUAACAUGAUAGGACUUUGGUUCUAUUUUGUUGGUUUGAGGACCAAAGUAAUGAUUAAUAGGGCCAGUCGGGGGCAUUAGUAUUCUAUAGUCAGAGGUGAAAUUCUUGGAUUUAUAGAAGACUAACUAAUGCGAAAGCAUUUGCCAAGGAUGUUUUCA